Molecule: long non-coding RNA, 404 nt
Organism: Xenia sp. Carnegie-2017
Lineage: Eukaryota; Metazoa; Cnidaria; Anthozoa; Malacalcyonacea; Xeniidae
Exons: 2
Source: RefSeq, a predicted model, not a curated record
CCACGUCGUCAACUUUAAAGCUCUCGUGACGAGGCGACAACUCAACCAUGACAAUGGGUUUUCCUAUAUUGUAAGCAUGACGUGGUUUGUUAUCCUGCAGUUGUUGAGCUCUAAACCUGUAGCUGAUUUAAGCUUUACUCUAGUUUCUUCGUGACUGCCACGUUUUAAUACUUCGUAAGCGUUGUCAUUCUCAAAUUUGUUCGUGAAUGCCUGGAAGUUAACGUUCUGAUUGUUCUUUGUAAAAAGGAUUCUUACAAUUGUACGUCUUCUGGGAAAACUGUUGUUGGGUUGGACGAAAAAAAAUUCUGUGUAUUUAACAGGAUAUUGGCCUCAGUAUGUUUGACACGUAGAGAUUUUCAGCAUGUAUCUUUGGAGAUAUUUAAUAUCCGCAAUGUUUCCUUUGA